CUUGCUUUCUCUCCCUCUCUCGUUCUGGAAAUGCCAAGCAGUUUCUCUGAGCUCCAUUUACGCAAAUACGCACGACUGUCCCGAGCAGCGCGCGGUCUUUGGAACAGUAUUCGGACACUCGGAAGCAGAAAACACACGUGUGUUUGUGUUCGGGAGAAAAGUCGAACCCAAGUCAGGUUAGAAUCAGGAAGUGGGAGGACCCGAUCGUUGAGCGAGGAUCGCUGGGGCAGCCGUUGGAUGAAUGGGAGUUUGUCUGAAGCUUGGAGCGGAUGAGGAGAGGCUCUGUCGGCGACGGAACCGUCAGCAACCACAGGACAUACGCUUUUACCAGCUGAACAUAUAAUGAAUGUGGAGUCCCCUUUUGGCUCAAGGGCUCUGAUGCAAGCUCAGAGAAAUUCUUCAGCACUGUUGCAGUUAAAGAAAUAUACAGGAUUCAAAGAAAGGGCCCGAGGGUCAGUCGGAUUAAUCCUGACUACAGUGUUAACCCAGCAGCCACGACCCCCACCUCUGUGCUGUUAGUUAGCAGCUCAAACCUGAC
Long non-coding RNA from Oncorhynchus tshawytscha (Chinook salmon), 538 nucleotides. The record is from Ensembl. Lineage: Eukaryota; Metazoa; Chordata; Actinopteri; Salmoniformes; Salmonidae.